Small nuclear RNA from Mastomys coucha (southern multimammate mouse), 107 nucleotides. The record is from RefSeq and is a predicted model, not a curated record. NCBI's taxonomy places the organism in Eukaryota, Metazoa, Chordata, Mammalia, Rodentia, Muridae.
GUGCUCUCUUCCGCAACACAUAUACUAAAAUUGGAAUGAUACAGAGAAGAUUAGCAUGGCCCCUGUGAAAGGAUGGCAUGCAAAUUCAUGAAGCAUUCCAUAUUUUU